RNAcentral lists this long non-coding RNA (560 nucleotides) under Ananas comosus (pineapple). RNAcentral's name for it is "long non-coding RNA (ACOM_LNC020979)". The record is from RNAcentral. Lineage: Eukaryota; Viridiplantae; Streptophyta; Magnoliopsida; Poales; Bromeliaceae.
ACUACUUGUAGCAAUUAAAAUCGCAAUAACAUAAUUAGGUUAUAGGGAUACAUAUUAGAAAUACUUUUGUGUAAGUGUCUCAUUUAUGCCAAAAUUUUUUAAAAAAUUUACUAAGACCUAAAUAAAAAGUCUAAUCCAAUAAAAAAUAAAAGGUUACUCUACUCAACCCAACCCACCGAGUCCAUUCGACCCGAUUACAAACAGAAAAGAAAAAAAAAAGAAAAAUCGAUUACCAUCUUUCCUUCUCCCUUCACUCAAUCCACUGAAACACUAGACGAAGAGCCCUUCGCUCUUCUCCUCUUCCGCCGCCGCAGCCAACGAGAUAGAGUCCCGGCAGUUACUAAAUGCUUAAAUAAGUGUUAGUAAAUUAGUAGCACUCUUUCUUAGGUUAUACCGACACUAUUAAACCGUUACUAUAUGCCUAGCAACUCCACAUAUAGCAACAUAUUUUAAAAGUGUCCGUAAUUUAGUCAGCAACACUUUUUUUGACCUGUACCGACAUUUAAAAAUGUCGGUAUACACCGUUUUUGUUGCAGUGAAUUUGCUAUUGUUAAUGCCUA